Long non-coding RNA from Carassius gibelio (silver crucian carp), 851 nucleotides. RefSeq lists it as uncharacterized. The record is from RefSeq and is a predicted model, not a curated record. The transcript has 3 exons. Lineage: Eukaryota; Metazoa; Chordata; Actinopteri; Cypriniformes; Cyprinidae.
CCUCUUGUGAGAUCUCGGCAAAAAGUCUGACGAUUUAUUCCAAAACAUGAUGCAUGAUGGGAUACACUAAGCUUUGUAUAGUGCUCCGGAGCAGUAUUGGAGAGGUUUAGUGUGUGUUAAGGACGCUGUGCUUUGGCAUUAUUAAGACCGGGGACAGUCUCGUUCACACACUGUCACGUACACACACUCUCAAGUGGCCAAGACUGCAAGUGUGGGUAUCUGGACAGGGUCAAAGUCUUAAAAAUGAUCCCUAAACACAUCACAGUCUUAAUAAUCCAGUUUAACACUGUAUGAUAUUGUACAAGCCCCAGGACGGUCUCAUCUGACACUAUCAAAAGAAUUCAUAUGACUAUAGCUUGCUAUUAAUUACUUGCUUUCAAUAAUGGAUGCAUUUAACAUUUAAUUAUACAGCAUCUUUACAGAGGUGUAAUGUACAAGUUGCACGUAAUUAAUAAUAUUUCCUUCUUUCUGUCUUACAGGAUUUUUUGCAGAUAAUCCUAAUGCUGUUCUUCUUUUUCAGGUCUAAAAUAUCAAGCUCAACAGCUCACUCAAGAGCCAACCCUCACAAACCUUCCUAAAAACUAAAAGAGCUAUUACUGAGUCUCAGCGAAUCUUGCCAUGAUCAGCUCUUCCCAGAAGAGAAGGAAGACCAAGGAAAUUAUUUGCUCAGGAUGAGGAAUGAAGAUGGCCAUCUUGUGCUCAAACAAACAGAAGUCCUCUGAUGAUCUCAUCAGCCAAAUGAGGGGUUUUGACCAAAUGAUGCUCUUGAAAGGAGUGAAAGAAGAGGAUGUGCUAAAUUCUCUUCAGAGAAAAAGCUUCUCAAAAGGUCUCAAAACAGCUUGAAGAAUGGU